CGCUGCCUCGGAGCGAGAGGUCGCGUGGGGUUGAUCCUCCCAGGGGCUGAGCAGGCUCGCAGCCGAAAUGUGGCCGCAUUGCUUCCGGACCCGAGAGGUACUGGCGAGGCAUGCGGGGUUGCUCGCUUUCCCCACUGGACGCGCAACCCGAAGACCCUAAUGGCAUCUUAGUGCUUCUACGGUUGCUUUUUUAUCCAGAGGAAAGUGUACACAAUAAAUCUUUCCUGGUGAUGGAGUGGGGUGAUAGGAAAACGGGGAGAGACAAGCAUCUGUCGCUACUGACCCCAUUUUGCUGAUGAAACUGAGCCUUUGAAGGAGACAGCCUAAUAAAAGGCACCCAAGGUCGAAAUCUUUAUAAAGAGCCGUAUAUAGGGACAAGGGUAAAAGCAGAUCACCAGCUGAGCCAGCCCGAAAUGCUUCCCAGUGGUCUAGUAUUGCAUAAUUGGCCGUGUGAAUUCCAGGGUUUCCAGUUUCGGAUGGAGGACUUGGUGCUGGUCACUCACGAGGAGAGAACUGAGACCUGGAGAAGUGAUAUAAGUUUGUAAGUGGCAAAGCUGGUAUUCAGUGACAACUCUGACUGGAAGCCCGAUCUCUCUUGCUUUUUUUUAAAGCAUUUAUUUACUCAAAUAAUCUGUACACCCAGCAUGGGGCUCGAACUCACGAC
Lutra lutra (Eurasian river otter) is the source of this 664-nucleotide long non-coding RNA. RefSeq lists it as uncharacterized. Lineage: Eukaryota; Metazoa; Chordata; Mammalia; Carnivora; Mustelidae. The transcript has 3 exons. The record is from RefSeq and is a predicted model, not a curated record.